RNAcentral lists this unclassified non-coding RNA (221 nucleotides) under plant metagenome. RNAcentral's name for it is "partial contains small subunit ribosomal RNA, internal transcribed spacer 1, and 5.8S ribosomal RNA". The stretch from base 173 to 221 matches the Rfam family "5.8S ribosomal RNA", at positions 1 to 49 of the family's 154-position model. The record is from RNAcentral.
UCUCCGUUGGUGAACCAGCGGAGGGAUCAUUAUCGAGUUUAUAACUCCCAAACCCUAUGUGAACUUACCACUUGUUGCUUCGGCGCGCGCUUCGGUGCCGCCGAGGACACUUAAACUCUUUGUUUUUAUAAGCAUUUCUGAGUGGCCGAAAGGCAAAACACAAAUGAAUCAAAACUUUCAACAACGGAUCUCUUGGCUCUCACAUCGAUGAAGAACGCAGC